CCUACGGGUGGCAGCAGUGGGGAAUAUUGCACAAUGGGGGAAACCCUGAUGCAGCAACGCCGCGUGAGCGAAGAAGGUCUUCGGAUCGUAAAGCUCUGUUGUUAGGGAAGAACAAGUACGGGAGGAAAUGACCGUACCUUGACGGUACCUGAAUAAGAAGCCCCGGCUAACUACGUGCCAGCAGCCGCGGUAAUACGUAGGGGGCAAGCGUUAUCCGGAAUCACUGGGUGUAAAGGGUGCGUAGGCGGUAGGGCAAGUCAGAUGUGAAAGCCCGGAGCUCAACUUCGGGACUGCAUUUGAAACUGUCUUACUAGAGUGCAGGAGAGGAAAGCGGAAUUCCUAGUGUUGCGGUGAAAUGCGUAGAUAUUAGGAAGAACACCAGUGGCGAAGGCGGCUUUCUGGACUGUAACUGACGCUGAGGCACGAAAGCGUGGGGAGCGAACAGGAUUAGAUACCCGAGUAGUC
This 465-nucleotide ribosomal RNA is filed under the name uncultured bacterium. RNAcentral describes it as "partial 16S ribosomal RNA". It matches the Rfam family "Bacterial small subunit ribosomal RNA", at positions 338 to 795 of the family's 1533-position model. The record is from RNAcentral.